This 318-nucleotide ribosomal RNA is filed under the name uncultured eukaryote. RNAcentral describes it as "partial 18S ribosomal RNA". It matches the Rfam family "Eukaryotic small subunit ribosomal RNA", at positions 1470 to 1796 of the family's 1831-position model. The record is from RNAcentral.
CCCUUAGAUGUCCUGGGCCGCACGCGUGCUACACUGAUGCAUACAGCGAGUACUUUCCAGCUCCGCGAGGCAGCUGGUAAUCAGCAAUAUGCAUCGUGCUGGGGAUAGAUCUUUGGAAUUAUAGAUCUUGAACGAGGAAUUCCUAGUAAGCGCAAGUCGUUAGCUUGCGCUGAUUAAGUCCCUGCCCUUUGUACACACCGCCCGUCGCUCCUACCGAUUUCGAGUGAUUCGGUGAACCUUUUGGACAGCGUCUGUCCUCGUGUCAGAUGCUGAAAGUCAAGUAAACCAUAUCACUUAGAGGAAGGAGAAGUCGUAACA